Molecule: ribosomal RNA, 253 nt
Filed under: uncultured bacterium
Lineage: Bacteria
Description: partial 16S ribosomal RNA
Rfam family: Bacterial small subunit ribosomal RNA
Source: RNAcentral
UACGUAGGGUCCGAGCGUUGUCCGGAAUUACUGGGCGUAAAGAGCUCGUAGGUGGUUUGUCGCGUUGUUCGUGAAAACUCACAGCUUAACUGUGGGCGUGCGGGCGAUACGGGCAGACUGGAGUACUGCAGGGGAGACUGGAAUUCCUGGUGUAGCGGUGGAAUGCGCAGAUAUCAGGAGGAACACCGGUGGCGAAGGCGGUUCUCUGGGAAUAUUCUGACGCUGAGGAGCGAAAGUGUGGGGAGCGAACAGG